CUGCCGGCUUGGGUCACCGGAUUCGAUCCGGCCCCUUCGUGGGGGUCGUUGAGAGAGCGGAUCGUCGCUGCUGCAAGCAAG
RNAcentral lists this transfer RNA (81 nucleotides) under Engelhardtia mirabilis. RNAcentral describes it as "Planctomycetes bacterium Pla133 tRNA-Thr". The record is from RNAcentral. Lineage: Bacteria; Pseudomonadati; Planctomycetota; Planctomycetia.